GACGUAGGGGGCCAGCGUUGUUCGGAAUUACUGGGUGUAAAGGGUUCGUAGGCGGUGUGGCAAGUCGGGAGUGAAAUCUCUGGGCUCAACCCAGAGACUGCUUCCGAAACUGCUGUGCUUGAGUGUGAGAGAGGCUCGUGGAAUUGCAGGUGUAGCGGUGAAAUGCGUAGAUAUCUGCAGGAACACCCGUGGCGAAAGCGGCGAGCUGGACCACUACUGACGCUGAGGAACGAAAGCUAGGGGAGCAAACAGG
Molecule: ribosomal RNA, 253 nt
Filed under: uncultured bacterium
Lineage: Bacteria
Description: partial 16S ribosomal RNA
Rfam family: Bacterial small subunit ribosomal RNA
Source: RNAcentral